CUUAAAGCUUUAUCCCUGUGAGUACCAGAAAAGUGAUCUGAGUAUUUAUUAAACAGAGAACAAACUGCCUACUUCAGGCAGGGAGGAAGCGUAUGGAAAUUAUAUUAGAACUUCAGCAAAGUGCAGAGCUGCAUAAUACAGAAGCUGGGACUCAAAUUGACAGGCUAAUAAGCCAGCUCACUGAAGGGGGCUCUGUGUGGCAGCUCUGAGCUACUAAGUGUUGGACAACUAUAGGCAAAAUGUGAAAUGGAACAGGGCAGAAAAUAACACACUAACUUCAGGCAACUGUUGCUUUCUCCUGGUCUUCAGGGAUUUUACAUUCUGUAGCUGGCAAAACAAGUCCCCAUUUAAAUAUUAAGCUUACUACACUAAUGACUGUGAAGUACUUGUUCCCUGGAACUGCACCUGUUCAGCAUGACACCUUGCUUUGCUGGUGAUGUCACAUGCAGCACUGACUAUAAUUGGAGAAUGGAACCUCUUUGUGGGUGCAAGGUGGAUGACUGCCGUUAUGACUUUUGCAAAAAGAUCCUUUUUGUUUCACAGAUUAGGGGAGUGAAAUCAUUACUGGAUACAGAAAAGAAAAUAAACUAAUCCACACUCAUGAGACACCUGGCUCCCAGCCAGGCAAAGGAGAAAAUAAGGACAGGAAAUCUCUUAGCUGCAUGGUGGAUUGGAGGACCAGACAAGACAAUUUUAGACUCACGCUUAUUGUGAUCUCCUCAGUGCUUGUUAUCGUAUAUUCUUCAGAGGUCUGCCCACUAUGAUAAAUUGUACAGGCACUUGCAACAAGGAUUGGUGCAGCUUUUGCGCAGUGCUUUGUGCUUGGAAUUCCGAGAAGAACGAAAAAGAAGACAGGCAUCCUGGUCCUAUUCCGAGAAAUAACAGGAGCCUAAGAAGAAACAAAUCUGAGUUUGUCCUAGAUACAAGAGUGAUGGAAAAAAUGUGAAUCUCCUGCUUCAAAAAAAAAAAAAAAAAUCUGGCAUGUUUAACUACAGAGACAUCAGGAUGUGUUAGAGCUUCUUAAAACAAUAUAACUAAAUGAGCCUAAGCGAUUGUUUCUUUUAUUUACCAAAAAAAUCUGAAUUUUAUUUUAUUAUUGCUUAAAUAGCAAUAUUUGGCAGUGGGUGAAAACGUACCUUUCAUUUCAGUGCAAGGAAAAAUUAAAACAGAAAUGAAAAAUGAAGAAGUUGGUUAUACCAGAAAUCACUGAAGGCCUGAGCGCAAAUGUUUCUGGCAUGUUCAAGCAAGCUGGCCAGCACACCAGGAGCAUCAGGAAGAUGAUGCAGAGUCAACCACAGCACACUGUGUCCCAGACUGCCUGCACCAGAGUUCAGACAGUCUUGUCUGCUACCUGCUUUUGUCCCACAGUUGGGAGCUUUUGCCUUGUCCCCUGUCCUGCGUCCAAGCAUGUUGAUGUCAGUGGCACAUGCAGGCUUCUGCUGUGAGGAACAGUCAGCACCAGGUUUCAGUGGGCUCUCUUGAAACACUCUAUGCUGCAGCUGCUGGGAUGGCUCUUGUGCCAGAAAGGAUUAGAAUCACUCUACCCCCCCCUGCCCUAGGCAGGCCUUCAAGCUGAACCGCUUCCUGAAGAGCACUGAAUUUUCUAUACCAGAUUCUACUUCAGUGGCCAGGACCUUUAUGGCCACUGAUUCUUUUGCUCUGGGUUCUGAAAAAACAUCGUGGAUCCAUCCCUAAAGUAGAAAUGUUCUUUUCCGUCCCGCAAGCAAGGCUAAAGAUUGGAGGAGAAUGAAUGUGAAUCUAAUUCAGGAUUGCGGUCGUGCCAUUAAAAGUUUUCAGCUUCAGAACAAAAUGAUUUGGGAAAUAUGAUCAGUUUUCUUACUCUAUCAACAAUGUUUAAAAGUUGUAGGUGGUUCAAGCGACUUGACUCAAAUAACGACAAUCUUUGCAUGUCAAUAAUGGCUACAGUUUAAGGAGUGAAAGAUAGUUUUGAGUUUAGAAAAGAAGAAACUGUUAAUAUCAGCCUGUAAUGGGAUUAAAUGUUGAAUAUGGGGAAGAGGCAAAAAGCAAAUAGAUGCCCGAAAGUUAUCCUUGCACUGAGGAUGGGUUUAAAGUGCUGUAUAUCCUAGGGCCCACCUUACUGAAGAGGUAUAAUGGGGAAAUAUUUCAAUUAGAAACCCAUUAACAAGCAUUUAAUCCUUCUUUAAGGCAUUAGAGGAAAUAGAAUAAAACAUUUACUGUACAAAUCUGCUGCAAGCAGACUUUAACCCAUUUAUAGACUUAUCCUUCUGAUGUAUUGUACUAUGGCUACUCAAGAGUCAGGAUAGUAAAGAUUUUAUUUGUACUCCUUUUUUCCAAAGUUGUGGAAUCUAUUCUAAGAAGUGUCUUGAUCAAUCAGCUGAUAUUAUUGUUUUGAAUGUCUGUAUGUAUAUUGUCUACUUAUUUGAUCUUUUCCAACCCCUGCUUGAAAAGGUGGGUUUUUUAUACAACAGCAACAAAAGUUUUACUGAAUGUAAUCUUGACGACUAAGUGAUUCAGAUUAUUUGAAGAAGAAUUCUACUGGAUCAUAUCGGACUUUUCCUAGUCCCUGAGACCCUAACUUGUGAGGUUUUUUAGCAACAAUCACAAGUCAGGCUCUUGGGACCUAGGCGGAGGGGAACCAGCAGCUUUGGACUUUAUUGAUUGUUUAUCUGCAAUAUUAACAGAACCAAAGGAGAUUUUCUUAUCUGGGGGAAAAUAUUUAUUUCAGAUGUUAAGCAUUAGUGUUAUGCUACAAAAAAAUUGCUGCUAUGUAUUGUACAAUAUAAAGAUUCUACAUAAUUUGUAUGUUUGGAAACCUAUAUUGUAGUGGAUAACGUAACAUUUCAAAUUAAAAUUUAAAAUGAAUGACAGAUAUCUACAUAAAAAAAUCAAGUACUGAAGGAUAAAUGCACUGUUUUCAACCAUAAGUUGCUAUUAUGGAUCCUUCUGGUGGAUAAUAAAACAAAACACAUUUCCAAAUGUAUUGCUAUAAUAUUUAAUGAACUUUUUGAAACUUUACAAAUUAUACAUUGAUCUGUGAGGCCUAGCAAAUGCAUUGAUACUGUUGUCUUUGGGGUAAUAAUCUGAGCAUGCAAGAAAACUGUUGCUUCUCUUUUCCUGUAAGGCAGUGCAGAGAUUCCUUUAUAGUUGUUACUAUUUCUCUUAGUCUAUAUAAUAAUACAAUACAGGUUCUCAUUUGGUGUAUUAACCUCUUACUCUGAAAGAAAAGAGAAAGCUGGUGUCAAAUUCAUAAUGCUGUGUUGAAGUCACUUUGCACACAGAACUACAUACUUUUCAUCUACUUACUGUAUCUCAGCAGAGAAGACCGGACACCAGGAAUUAGGCUCAAACUUUAGUCUCUUCCCUCACUUUUUACUUUUCACUUAUAAAAACAGACUAACUGUUGUGUUGUCCCCAUAUGCUGAAUACUUCAGUGACUUCAGCAUAAGAUUUACCAGGACACAGCUACUUUGUAAUGUCUAUCACUCCUAAAGUGCUGAACCAGAACACAGAACAUUUGACUGUAUUUCUUAAUAUUUUAUAAGUAGUUUGGUCCUGAUUAAUUUUUGUUUGUUUCCUGUAUCUAACCCAAGAUGGUGCAGCACCCUGUUAAUAGUGUACUAAUGUCACACUUCACUGAUUGAAACAAAGGCUUUACUUAGGGCAAGCAUCUAAACAAUUUGGUCAUUUUGAAACUGAUAUUUUGGCUCCAGUUUAUUUUUUCCAUGUAUGUGGGAGGAAUUGUGUUUUAUUGUAAUGCUAUUGUUAAAAUAAAUUAUUAUUAAACAGAAUAAUUCAAAG
Molecule: long non-coding RNA, 3780 nt
Organism: Malaclemys terrapin pileata
Lineage: Eukaryota; Metazoa; Chordata; Testudines; Emydidae
Exons: 12
Source: RefSeq, a predicted model, not a curated record